UGGGGAAUAUUGCACAAUGGGCGCAAGCCUGAUGCAGCCAUGCCGCGUGUAUGAAGAAGGCCUUCGGGUUGUAAAGUACUUUCAGUCGGGAGGAAGGUGGUAAGGUUAAUAACCUUAUCAAUUGACGUUACCGACAGAAGAAGCACCGGCUAACUCCGUGCCAGCAGCCGCGGUAAUACGGAGGGUGCAAGCGUUAAUCGGAAUUACUGGGAGUAAAGCGCACGCAGGCGGUUGAUUGAGUCAGAUGUGAAAUCCCCGGGCUUAACCCGGGAAUUGCAUCUGAUACUGGUCAGCUAGAGUCUUGUAGAGGGGGGUAGAAUUCCAUGUGUAGCGGUGAAAUGCGUAGAGAUGUGGAGGAAUACCGGUGGCGAAGGCGGCCCCCUGGACAAAGACUGACGCUCAGGUGCGAAAGCGUGGGGAGCAAACAGG
Molecule: ribosomal RNA, 429 nt
Filed under: Chloroflexota bacterium
Lineage: Bacteria; Bacillati; Chloroflexota
Description: Chloroflexi bacterium partial 16S ribosomal RNA
Rfam family: Bacterial small subunit ribosomal RNA
Source: RNAcentral